This 24-nucleotide non-coding RNA is filed under the name Arabidopsis thaliana (thale cress). The record is from RNAcentral. Lineage: Eukaryota; Viridiplantae; Streptophyta; Magnoliopsida; Brassicales; Brassicaceae.
GAUCGAGUGGUGUUAGAAGAUACU